This 253-nucleotide ribosomal RNA is filed under the name uncultured bacterium. Its description in RNAcentral is "partial 16S ribosomal RNA". It matches the Rfam family "Bacterial small subunit ribosomal RNA", at positions 524 to 776 of the family's 1533-position model. The record is from RNAcentral.
UACGGGGGGGGCAAGCGUUGUUCGGAAUUACUGGGCGUAAAGGGCUCGUAGGUGGCCAACUAAGUCGGACGUGAAAUCCCUCGGCUUAACCGGGGAACUGCUUCCGAUACUGGAUGGCUUGAGUUUGGGAGAGGGAUGCGGAAUUCCAGGUGUAGCGGUGAAAUGCGUAGAUAUCUGGAGGAACACCGGUGGCGAAGGCGGCAUCCUGGACCAACACUGACGCUGAGGAGCGAAAGCCAGGGGAGCAAACGGG